UGGUCUUCGGAAAAAAACUAGUCGGUUGACUGAUACUGAUAAUGGUAAUAUGGAACCUCCUAAGAGUGCUCAAACGGCGCUGGUUAAAGAAAAUUUGCCCACAUAACAGGUGGAAGAACUUGUUUAUCCGGGAAGCGUGGACACGCUAGGUGAGAUUGAAAUUAGCUACCAUUAUGGUGGUUAUUUUGUAUUCUCGCCUUCUACAAGAUAUGUAAACGGGAUUGAAAUAUUAGUGAAUAUUUCGGGGGUAGACCAACGAAAGUACAACUUAUAAACAAUUAGAAUCGACAAGUAAGGAAUUGAACAAGCAUGUGGAAGAAGUUAAAAGGGAAGCUAAGGAGCAAAUUGAAGAAAUGAAGAAAGAAACGGAUAAUAAGAUAGCAAAGUUGGAGAAACAAUGGGCAGCAAAAUUUCAAAUGUUGGUUGCAGCUCAAGGCCGACAAUCAAAUGAUGCAAAUCUAACCCUUGUGGAGUAGUGAUGGAAGCAUCAAAAUCGAUGGGGACAUGAAGAAUUAUUUUUUAUCUUGCAAAAGUACAUUGAUAUGUUUGAAUAAAGUGAUGUUUCACCAUUUUGGAUGACAUUGUUGAACCUUUGUUACAUCUUUUUUCUAAUAUAUUGCAUUUAUUACACAAUUGAAGAUAUAUUGCUACGAUAUUGUCUAUAAAUU
Long non-coding RNA from Lycium ferocissimum, 668 nucleotides. RefSeq lists it as uncharacterized. The transcript is spliced from 3 exons. Lineage: Eukaryota; Viridiplantae; Streptophyta; Magnoliopsida; Solanales; Solanaceae. The record is from RefSeq and is a predicted model, not a curated record.